RNAcentral lists this ribosomal RNA (631 nucleotides) under fungal sp. E14300A. Its description in RNAcentral is "eukaryotic LSU rRNA". The stretch from base 193 to 346 matches the Rfam family "5.8S ribosomal RNA". The record is from RNAcentral. Lineage: Eukaryota; Fungi.
UCCGUAGGUGAACCUGCGGAGGGAUCAUUAUCGAGUGUUAAAACUCCCAAACCAUUGUGAACGUUACCUUUUGUUGCUUCGGCGGGUUCGCCCCGGGCGCCUUCGAGUGCCCCGGAGUCAGGCGCCCGCCGGGGGACCAUAACUCCUGUUUUAUCAAGUGGAAUCUCUGAGUUCAGUUUUAAAAUAAAUCAAAACUUUCAACAACGGAUCUCUUGGUUCUGGCAUCGAUGAAGAACGCAGCGAAAUGCGAAAAGUAAUGUGAAUUGCAGAAUUCAGUGAAUCAUCGAAUCUUUGAACGCACAUUGCGCCCGCUAGUAUUCUGGCGGGCAUGCCUGUCUGAGCGUCAUUUCAACCCUCAUCCCCGGUUUUCCGGGGGUGGUGUUGGGGAUCGGCUGUUAAAGGCCGUCCCCUAAAUCCAGUGGCGGACCCGCCGUGGCCUCCUAUGCGUAGUAGCGAUACAACCGCAUGCGGAGAGCGGCGGGCUUCGGCCCUCUCAGUGGUGUCUCCUAGCCCCACGGGCCUUUGGUGGUCUCGUGCCGUGAAUAGAUGGCCCUGGGAGGAUCACCUUUCCAAGGUGACCUCAGAUCAGGUAGGAAUACCCGCUGAACUUAAGCAUAUCAAUAAGCGGAGG